This 604-nucleotide ribosomal RNA is filed under the name uncultured fungus. RNAcentral's name for it is "SSU rRNA". It matches the Rfam family "Eukaryotic small subunit ribosomal RNA", at positions 737 to 1343 of the family's 1831-position model. The record is from RNAcentral. Lineage: Eukaryota; Fungi.
GGGGAACCAGGACUUUUACUUUGAAAAAAUUAGAGUGCUCCAGGCAGGCCUUUGCUCGAAUACAUUAGCAUGGAAUAAUAAAAUAGGACGUGCGGUUCUAUUUUGUUGGUUUCUAGGACCGCCGUAAUGAUUAAUAGGGACAGUCGGGGGCAUCAGUAUUCCAUAGUCAGAGGUGAAAUUCUUGGAUCUAUGGAAGACUAACUACUGCGAAAGCAUUUGCCAAGGAUGUUUUCAUUAAUCAGGAACGAAAGUUAGGGGAUCGAGGACGAUCAGAUACCGUCGUAGUCUUAACCAUAAACUAUGCCGACUAGGGAUCGGACGAUGUUAUAUUUUGACUCGUUCGGCACCUUACGAGAAAUCAAAGUGCUUGGGCUCCAGGGGGAGUAUGGUCGCAAGGCUGAAACUUAAAGAAAUUGACGGAAGGGCACCACCAGGGGUGGAGCCUGCGGCUUAAUUUGACUCAACACGGGGAAACUCACCAGGUCCAGACACAAUGAGGAUUGACAGAUUGAGAGCUCUUUCUUGAUUUUGUGGGUGGUGGUGCAUGGCCGUUCUUAGUUGGUGGAGUGAUUUGUCUGCUUAAUUGCGAUAACGAACGAGACCU